RNAcentral lists this small RNA (87 nucleotides) under Escherichia coli. RNAcentral's name for it is "partial RtT sRNA". It matches the Rfam family "RtT RNA", at positions 45 to 130 of the family's 130-position model. Rfam says of the family: This family represents a bacterial cis-regulatory element known as RtT RNA. The exact function of RtT is unknown although it is thought that it may be involved in changing the cellular response in relation to amino acid starvation. The record is from RNAcentral. Lineage: Bacteria; Pseudomonadati; Pseudomonadota; Gammaproteobacteria; Enterobacterales; Enterobacteriaceae.
GAGAGAGCGUCAGCGAGAGAGCGUUGCCGCAGGCAACGACCCGAAGGGCGAAGCGCGCAGCGCUGAGUAAUCCUUCCCCCACCACCA